AAGGAAGUCUUCGGGUGGAAUUUAAAGUAGUUAGUGGCGGACGGGUGAGUAACGCGUGGGAAACCUGCCCUAUACAGGGGGAUAGCCUCGGGAAACCGGGAUUAAUACCCCAUAAAACUCUAGUAUCGCAUGAUACAUGAGUCAAAGAUUUAUCGGUAUAGGAUGGUCCCGCGUCUGAUUAGCUAGUUGGUGAGGUAACGGCUCACCAAGGCGACGAUCAGUAGCCGGCCUGAGAGGGUGAACGGCCACACUGGAACUGAGACACGGUCCAGACU
This 275-nucleotide ribosomal RNA is filed under the name uncultured prokaryote. RNAcentral's name for it is "partial 16S ribosomal RNA". It matches the Rfam family "Bacterial small subunit ribosomal RNA", at positions 57 to 337 of the family's 1533-position model. The record is from RNAcentral.